RNAcentral lists this ribosomal RNA (746 nucleotides) under Lentilactobacillus buchneri. RNAcentral's name for it is "bacterial SSU rRNA". It matches the Rfam family "Bacterial small subunit ribosomal RNA", at positions 48 to 750 of the family's 1533-position model. Lineage: Bacteria; Bacillati; Bacillota; Bacilli; Lactobacillales; Lactobacillaceae. The record is from RNAcentral.
CUAAUACAUGCAAGUCGAACGCGUCUCCGUUAAUGAUUUUAGGUGCUUGCACUUGAAAGAUUUAACAUUGAGACGAGUGGCGAACUGGUGAGUAACACGUGGGUAACCUGCCCUUGAAGUAGGGGAUAACACUUGGAAACAGGUGCUAAUACCGUAUAACAACCAAAACCACCUGGUUUUGGUUUAAAAGACGGCUUCGGCUGUCACUUUAGGAUGGACCCGCGGCGUAUUAGCUUGUUGGUAAGGUAACGGCUUACCAAGGCGAUGAUACGUAGCCGACCUGAGAGGGUAAUCGGCCACAUUGGGACUGAGACACGGCCCAAACUCCUACGGGAGGCAGCAGUAGGGAAUCUUCCACAAUGGACGAAAGUCUGAUGGAGCAACGCCGCGUGAGUGAUGAAGGGUUUCGGCUCGUAAAACUCUGUUGUUGGAGAAGAACAGGUGUCAGAGUAACUGUUGACAUCUUGACGGUAUCCAACCAGAAAGCCACGGCUAACUACGUGCCAGCAGCCGCGGUAAUACGUAGGUGGCAAGCGUUGUCCGGAUUUAUUGGGCGUAAAGCGAGCGCAGGCGGUUUUUUAGGUCUGAUGUGAAAGCCUUCGGCUUAACCGGAGAAGUGCAUCGGAAACCGGGAGACUUGAGUGCAGAAGAGGACAGUGGAACUCCAUGUGUAGCGGUGAAAUGCGUAGAUAUAUGGAAGAACACCAGUGGCGAAGGCGGCUGUCUGGUCUGUAACUGACGCUGAG